This 234-nucleotide ribosomal RNA is filed under the name uncultured bacterium. RNAcentral describes it as "partial 16S ribosomal RNA". It matches the Rfam family "Bacterial small subunit ribosomal RNA", at positions 96 to 334 of the family's 1533-position model. The record is from RNAcentral.
UGGCGGACGGGUGAGUAAUGUCUGGGAAACUGCCCGAUGGAGGGGGAUAACUACUGGAAACGGUAGCUAAUACCGCAUAACGUCGCAAGACCAAAGAGGGGACCUUCGGGCCUCUUGCCAUCGGAUGUGCCCAGAUGGGAUUAGCUAGUAGGUGGGGUAACGGCUCACCUAGGCGACGAUCCCUAGCUGGUCUGAGAGGAUGACCAGCCACACUGGAACCGAGACACGGUCCAG